GAAGAAAAUAUGCUUAUAUUUUACCUAUUUCUGACUGAAUAGGAUAUGCAGAAAUCAGAUUCUCUGGAUAGCUUAUUUGGCGACAAAGAUGCAAGUAGUGCUCUGGAAGUUUCUGGAACCUGAUUUACCUGAUGGACCUGACGAUGGAAAAAAGGCGUCCUUACUUAUGAUGAAUUUUUCUAGAGAUGAAGUUGAGUUUGCAAUGAAUAUGCUUGGUGAUCAAGAUGGAGGCUGACUACAAAGCAAGUUCCCUCUGUACCUUCCUCUUACAUAUUUGGAUUUGCCAAGUUGAUAUUAUCUGAUAUUGACUGCUUUGCUUUUCUGUUUUUUCUGUAGACUCCUAAUAUGCAGUUUCAGGCUUUGAUUUACUACCUUACAAAUCUAAGUGAAUUACAGAUGGUUUUAGUUUUGGCUACUGGGUAUAUAACAAAACCUUAAUAUGUUUGUUUCAUUGAUGCUGGUUUCUUGAUUCUGUUGCUCUUUUGAUUUUUCUGUGUUUUUGUUUUUGCUCUAUUGUUGUUUCAGAGGUGAAUCUAUUCCUCCCUGUAACACUACAUUACUCAUCAUUCAAGGUAAACUCAUUCCUUACAAUCUACAGUUUUGACUAGAAAUUGAACAUUAUAGCCUAUUGUUAUUAAUUCUGCUUUCCCAUUUCUCUAUGUAAAGGUGUACCACCAUUUACUUGUGUGUUCC
Molecule: long non-coding RNA, 693 nt
Organism: Rosa chinensis
Lineage: Eukaryota; Viridiplantae; Streptophyta; Magnoliopsida; Rosales; Rosaceae
Exons: 3
Source: RefSeq, a predicted model, not a curated record